GGAUUAGAUACCCUGGUAGUCCACGCUGUAAACGUUGGUCACUAGGUGUUGGCAGUUUACUGUCAGUGCCCAAGGGAAACCGAUAAGUGACCCACCUGGGGAGUACGCUCGCAAGGGUGAAACUCAAAGGAAUUGACGGGGGCCCGCACAAGCGGUGGAGCAUGUGGUUUAAUUCGAUGGUACGCGAGGAACCUUACCUGGACUAGAAUGCGCGUGACAGGUUUAGAGAUAGAUCUUCCCCGCAAGGGGCACAAAGCAAGGUGCUGCAUGGCUGUCGUCAGCUCGUGCCG
Molecule: ribosomal RNA, 290 nt
Filed under: uncultured bacterium
Lineage: Bacteria
Description: partial 16S ribosomal RNA
Rfam family: Bacterial small subunit ribosomal RNA
Source: RNAcentral